Molecule: long non-coding RNA, 2462 nt
Organism: Sciurus carolinensis (gray squirrel)
Lineage: Eukaryota; Metazoa; Chordata; Mammalia; Rodentia; Sciuridae
Exons: 3
Source: RefSeq, a predicted model, not a curated record
GCGCAGGAGCACCGAGGGAAGCGGGCACGGACCGCGGGGCACAGGGGCGACUCGCCGCGGGGCUCACCUCUGCAGCUCCUCCUCCUGGAUCCUCUCCUCGUCCCACACGAAGACGCCGGCGAGCGCCGCCAUCAAGGCAGAGGCAUGGCCCGGGCGGCCGCGCAGCCGGCGCCAGAGGCGUCCGAGCAGGACGCAGCGCGCGCUCUCCGAGUAGAGGCGGCCGUAGAGCUGCGCGAUCUGCUGCGAGCGCCGCACGCGCAGGCCCGUCACGAAGCGGCACUGAUUGGCCAGCAGGCCCAGCAGGCCCCCGCCCCGCGCGCCCGCCAACCAGGCGGCCAGGCCGGCCGGCGGCCUCCGCGGGAACAUGCCGCCGCCGCGACGCCGCGGGCCGCGGAGCCGGCGCGGGAGGGCGCGGGAGGGCGCGGGAGGGCGCGGGAGGGCGCGGGCGGCCGUCCGCCGGGUCUCCUAACUGGCCGGCCCGGAGCCCGUCUCACGUCGCCCGGGCCAGGCGCCGCCCCUCAUGUCUCCGCGGCAGCCGCUGAGAAGAGCCCCCUCCGGGGCGAGCGCCGCUGCAGGACACGCUCGGGCUCGGCCCCUCGCUGCUCCGCGUGUCCAGCGGGCGCCGGGGUCGCGGUGCGAGGCUCGCGGGAACCGACGAGGCGGGCGACCCGGGCCCCGCGGCAGGAAAGGUCCCGGGCACUCUGAGUCCGCCACACGCGCCGCCCGCCCGCAACCUACCCGCGUCUCCGCCGCCCGGGCUCUGAUUGGCCGCGAUCCCGACGCCGUGGCGCUCAUUGGCGGCGCCAAAUGCCCGUCACCGCUCUCUCCGCCCCUACGCGCCCCACGCCGCGGCCGCCUGAUAGCAAGCUUAUAGUUAAGAAUUUCAUUGACAAAAAGAAUGGUAACCGAACACAGUGGGUUCGCCCCUUGGUGAUGUGGAACCAGUGAGCACAAUCAGAAAAGAUCCGAGUGAAGAAUGAUUUACUUAUAAGGCUGCUUCCCGUUUUUGACCCUAAUGACCACCAAGGGCCCCAGACCCACCACCAAGCUGCAGGACCCACAGGAGCGAUGCUUCUUAGUCCCCUCUGCGACUUUCCGACUUUCCAACUCCAUACCUUCAACUCAGGGACUCAGCAGGGCUGCACCUGCGCUCCUCCUUCCUGUGCUGCGAGAUGGAACCUUUCUCCAGGCAGUAAACAGGACAAGUUCUAGGUUCACUACCACAAUCCUGCCAUAAAAUACUUCAUUGCCAUCAUUCUGAAAAACUCUGUGCCCCUUGCAGCCAAUCCUGGUAUUUGGCAGCCAUCCAUCUGCUUUUGUCACUGGAGUUUUUCCUUUUCUGGAAUUUCAUAUGAAUGAAACAAUUGACAAGUAUUGGUUUUGUUGAGUCUGGCUUUUCUGUAUCAGUACUUUGUUUUUGUUCUAUAAUAUUCCAUUGUAUGGAUACACUGAAAUGUGCUUAUCCAUUUGAUGGACAUUUGAAUUGUUUCCAUUUUGGGCUGCUCUGGAUAUUGGCAUGCAAAUCUUUGGGGUGAACACCUAGAAAAAAAGAAUCUCUAGGUUGCACAGUGUUCGUUGAGCCUUUUAAGAAAUUGCUAAAAUUGCUAAUGUGUUUUCCAAAGUAGUUACAGUGUUUGUGUUCCCAUUGGCAGUGUAGAAGGUUCUGGCAUUCCACAUUCUUGCCAGUGCAGACAUAUCUUGUGUUCCCCUUCACUGCAUUUUCACGGGUAUUGUACUUGAUACAAAUUGAAGGUCUGUGGCAACACUUGGUCAAGCAAGUCUAUCAGCACCAUUUUUUCCAACAGUUCAGAUGCUUGUUAGCAUUUUUUUAGCAAUAAAGUAUUUUUAAACUCAGGUAUAAUUUUUAACAUAAUGCUUUUGCACACUUGAUAGGUAAAAGUACAGCGUUAACUUUCCUAUGCACUGAAAACCCAAAAAACAUGUGACGUACUUUUUUGUAUUGGCUUUAUUCCAAUGAUCCGAAACCAAACACACAAUAUCCCCAAGGUACACCUGCACUUGGUAUUGUUAGUCUUUUAAAUGUAGCCAUUCUAAUUUGCAGUAGUGGGGAUUGAACCCAGAAGCACUCUUCCACUGAACUUCAUCCCCGGCCCUUUUAAAAAGUUUUAAAUUUGAGACAGGGUCUCACUAAGUUGUCCAGACUGGCCCGGAGCUUGCUUUCCUGCCUCCGCCUCCCCAGUAGCUGUGUUCCAGGCAUGGGCCUCUGCGCUCAGUAUUUGAGUUUGAUGGAAUUCACUGUUAUUUUCUUUGGUUUGUGUUCUUCAUGUCCUAAGAAAUCUUUGCUUACCCAAAUGUCACAAAGAUCAUCUGUGUUUUCCUCUAAAAAUGUCAUGAUUUUUACUUUUACAUUUAUGUUAAUGGUACUUUUUAAAAAAUGUUGUUGUUGUUGUUGAUGGACCUUUUUUUUUUAAAUUAAUUAGUUUAUUUAUUUAUAUGUGGUG